AGGAGUGGAGCCUGCGGCUUAAUUUGACUCAACACGGGAAACCUCACCAGGCCCGGACACCGGAAGGAUUGACAGAUUGAGAGCUCUUUCUUGAUUCGGUGGGUGGUGGUGCAUGGCCGUUCUUAGUUGGUGGAGCGAUUUGUCUGGUUAAUUCCGAUAACGAACGAGACUCUAGCCUGCUAACUAGGCGUAUUUCGACAUCCCAAAGGCCCGCCGGUUCGCGCGCGCGCGCGCGCGCGCUGGGUUUCGGCUCCGCGCGCGCGUCGUCGUCGUCGCGCGUUACCGCGCGCGGUUUUUACUGUCGGCGUACAAACAAUUCUUCUUAGAGGGACAGGCGGCUUCUAGCCGCACGAGAUUGAGCAAUAACAGGUCUGUGAUGCCCUUAGAUGUUCUGGGCCG
Molecule: ribosomal RNA, 399 nt
Filed under: Chorenta reticulata
Lineage: Eukaryota; Metazoa; Arthropoda; Insecta; Coleoptera; Cerambycidae
Description: bacterial SSU rRNA
Rfam family: Eukaryotic small subunit ribosomal RNA
Source: RNAcentral